RNAcentral lists this ribosomal RNA (493 nucleotides) under uncultured Rikenellaceae bacterium. Its description in RNAcentral is "bacterial SSU rRNA". It matches the Rfam family "Bacterial small subunit ribosomal RNA", at positions 904 to 1382 of the family's 1533-position model. The record is from RNAcentral. Lineage: Bacteria; Pseudomonadati; Bacteroidota; Bacteroidia; Bacteroidales; Rikenellaceae.
GCCCGCUCAGAAACUUAAUGAAUUGACGGGGCCCGCACAAGCGGAGGAACAUGUGGUUUAAUUCGAUGAUACGCGAGGAACCUUACCUGGGCUAGAACGCAUUCGGAAUCAGGCCGAAAGGCCUGCGCCAGCGAUGGCCGCUUGCGAGGUGCUGCAUGGUUGUCGUCAGCUCGUGCCGUGAGGUGUCGGGUUAAGUCCCAUAACGAGCGCAACCCCUACUGCUAGUUGCCAGCGGGUCAUGCCGGGGACUCUAGCGGAACUGCCAGCGUAAGCUGCGAGGAAGGUGGGGAUGACGUCAAAUCAGCACGGCCCUUACGUCCAGGGCUACACACGUGUUACAAUGGCCGGUACAGAGGGCAGCCACCCCGCGAGGGGGCGCGAAUCCCGAAAGCCGGUCCCAGUUCGGAUCGGAGUCUGCAACCCGACUCCGUGAAGCUGGAUUCGCUAGUAAUCGCGCAUCAGCCACGGCGCGGUGAAUACGUUCCCGGGCCUU